This 593-nucleotide ribosomal RNA is filed under the name uncultured Bacteroidota bacterium. RNAcentral's name for it is "bacterial SSU rRNA". It matches the Rfam family "Bacterial small subunit ribosomal RNA", at positions 122 to 714 of the family's 1533-position model. The record is from RNAcentral. Lineage: Bacteria; Pseudomonadati; Bacteroidota.
CAACCUGCCCACCACUUGGGGAUAACCUUGCGAAAGUAAGACUAAUACCCAAUGAUAUCUCUAGAAGACAUCUGAAAGAGAUUAAAGAUUUAUCGGUGAUGGAUGGGGAUGCGUCUGAUUAGCUUGUUGGCGGGGUAACGGCCCACCAAGGCAACGAUCAGUAGGGGUUCUAAGAGGAAGGUCCCCCACAUUGGACUGAGACACGGUCCAAACUCCUACGGGAGGCAGCAGUGAGGAAUAUUGGUCAAUGGACGAGAGUCUGAACCAGCCAAGUAGCGUGCAGGAAGACGGCCCUAUGGGUUGUAAACUGCUUUUAUAAGGGAAUAAAGUGAGUCUCGUGAGACUUUUUGCAUGUACCUUAUGAAUAAGGACCGGCUAAUUCCGUGCCAGCAGCCGCGGUAAUACGGAAGGUCCGGGCGUUAUCCGGAUUUAUUGGGUUUAAAGGGAGCGUAGGCCGGAGAUUAAGCGUGUUGUGAAAUGUAGACGCUCAACGUCUGCACUGCAGCGCGAACUGGUUUCCUUGAGUACGCACAAAGUGGGCGGAAUUCGUGGUGUAGCGGUGAAAUGCUUAGAUAUCACGAAGAACUCCGAUU